UGACAGGCUAGCCGGAGAGUUAGUCCCUCUCUGUAGCGCAAACGGACUUUAGGCGCGGUGAAGCGUGGCUGAGGGACAGUGAUUCUGUACAUAGUAACAGAGCUAUCGUAGAUUCACAGCCCUAUAGGAUGCUUUGGUUUAAAAACCCGGCCAGGCCCGGAAGGGAGCAACCGUAAUUAGACUGGAGUGUGCUUGUAGGUAAACUGUGAGGAGAAAAUGCUGUUACUCUCUAUACGGAUAGCUGUUUCGAGGCCAUGGCCUGUCA
Molecule: signal recognition particle RNA, 265 nt
Filed under: Candidatus Parvarchaeum acidophilus ARMAN-5
Lineage: Archaea; Nanobdellati; Candidatus Parvarchaeota
Description: Archaeal signal recognition particle RNA
Rfam family: Archaeal signal recognition particle RNA
Source: Rfam by way of RNAcentral